UACGGAAGGCAGCAGUGGGGAAUAUUGCACAAUGGGCGCAAGCCUGAUGCAGCCAUGCCGCGUGUAUGAAGAAGGCCUUCGGGUUGUAAAGUACUUUCAGUCGUGAGGAAGGUGUUAAGGUUAAUAACCUUAGCAAUUGACGUUAGCGACAGAAGAAGCACCGGCUAACUCCGUGCCAGCAGCCGCGGUAAUACGGAGGGUGCGAGCGUUAAUCGGAAUUACUGGGCGUAAAGGGCACGCAGGCGGUUAAUUAAGUUGGAUGUGAAAUCCCCGGGCUUAACCUGGGAAUGGCAUCAAGACUGGUUAGCUAGAGUCUUGUAGAGGGGGUAGAAUUCCAUGUGUAGCGGUGAAAUGCGUAGAGAUGUGGAGGAAUACCGGUGGCGAAGGCGGCCCCUGGGACAAAGACUGACGCUCAUGUGCGAAAGCGUGGGGAGCAAACAGGAUUAGAUACC
Molecule: ribosomal RNA, 452 nt
Filed under: uncultured bacterium
Lineage: Bacteria
Description: bacterial SSU rRNA
Rfam family: Bacterial small subunit ribosomal RNA
Source: RNAcentral